RNAcentral lists this ribosomal RNA (275 nucleotides) under Hymenoscyphus virgultorum. RNAcentral's name for it is "partial 28S ribosomal RNA". It matches the Rfam family "Eukaryotic large subunit ribosomal RNA", at positions 337 to 629 of the family's 3401-position model. Lineage: Eukaryota; Fungi; Ascomycota; Leotiomycetes; Helotiales; Helotiaceae. The record is from RNAcentral.
AUAGCGCACAAGUAGAGUGAUCGAAAGAUGAAAAGCAGUUUGGAAAGAGAGUUAAACAGUACGUGAAAUUGUUGAAAGGGAAGCGCUUGCAACCAGACUUGCACGCCGUCGAUCAUCUCAGGUUCUCCUGGGUGCACUCGGCGGUGUUCAGGCCAGCAUCGGUUUCGGUGGUUGGAUAAAGGCCUUGGGAAUGUGGCUCCUCUUGGGGAGUGUUAUAGCCCUCGGUGCAAUGCAGCCUACCGGGACCGAGGACCGCGCUUCGGCUAGGAUGCUGG